RNAcentral lists this ribosomal RNA (253 nucleotides) under uncultured bacterium. Its description in RNAcentral is "partial 16S ribosomal RNA". It matches the Rfam family "Bacterial small subunit ribosomal RNA", at positions 524 to 776 of the family's 1533-position model. The record is from RNAcentral.
UACGUAGGUGACCAGCGUUGUCCGGAUUUACUGGGCGUAAAGAGCGCGCAGGCGGUCGUUCAAGUCGAGUGUGAAAGCCCCCGGCUCAACUGGGGAGGGUCACUCGAUACUGAUCGACUUGAAGGCAGGAGAGGGAAGCGGAAUUCCCGGUGUAGUGGUGAAAUGCGUAGAUAUCGUUUGGAACGCCAAUGGUGAAAACAGGUAGCUGGGGAUGAGCUGACGCUGAGACACGAAAGCCAGGGGAGCAAACGGG